UGGUGGGGUUCCCGAGCGGCCAAAGGGAGCAGACUGUAAAUCUGCCGUCAUCGACUUCGAAGGUUCGAAUCCUUCCCCCACCACCAU
RNAcentral lists this transfer RNA (87 nucleotides) under Klebsiella variicola. Its description in RNAcentral is "tRNA-Tyr". It matches the Rfam family "tRNA". Rfam says of the family: Transfer RNA (tRNA) molecules are approximately 80 nucleotides in length. The record is from RNAcentral. Lineage: Bacteria; Pseudomonadati; Pseudomonadota; Gammaproteobacteria; Enterobacterales; Enterobacteriaceae. RNAcentral also lists the same sequence under 44 other names.